This 813-nucleotide long non-coding RNA is filed under the name Phascolarctos cinereus (koala). RNAcentral's name for it is "lncRNA (ENSPCIG00000022623.2)". Lineage: Eukaryota; Metazoa; Chordata; Mammalia; Diprotodontia; Phascolarctidae. The record is from RNAcentral.
CAGAAGUAGGAUUUGAAACCACGUUUUGCUGACUCUAGGGCCACUUCUCUACCCGCUUUGCUACAUUGCUUUUCGAGGCAUUUUAUAACAUAAUUUAAUCAGAAGGUUAGCAAUAAAUCAAUGAAAAAGAUGUGUUUCCCUAGCCUGUGACAAAACCAGUUUCUGUGCCAACUCCCUAGUAGUAGGAAGGGCAAAAUUCUGGAACAGACACCUUAUUCCAGGCCUAAGAGGUCAAAGGUAAACAAACAAACCAGGGCUUUUUCACUUACAAAUCUAUCCUAUGCCCUAUCAUCAUCCCCAACCUUUAGAUUCAGCUUCAUGGUAAUACCUGCAGGAACUCAAGAGCUCUAUUCUUCUCUCCUGAUCUAGCAUGGUUUAUACAAGCAGGACAGCAUCUGGCAUUAACUUUGCUCCCAGGCAGUCAGAUUUCCAGUCUCAGAUUUCCAGCUCCCCUUCUCAUCUGACUAAGAGUUCAAGAUCAGACCCUUUUGAAAUCUCUUGCUUCCUGCAUGUGGUGGCCACAGGUACCUUUUCAUCUAUUAUCAAGCUUAGAGCUCUGUAUGAUUCAGUCAGGGUGCCACACUGACACUGCUUCUAAUAAUAACUACCAUUUAUAUAGUGUUUUAAAGCUUGCAAAGCACUUUACAAGUGUUAUCUCAGUUGUUAUCUUCUCCAAAUAACCCUGGAAGGUAGGUGCUAUUAUUAUCCCCAUUUUACAGUUAAGGAAACUGAAGCAGACUGAGGUUAAAUGAUUUGCCCAGAGUGACACUGAGUAUAAGGCAGGAUGAUGAAUUCAGGUCUUCCUGACUCCAA